UAUUAUUAUUAUUAUUAUUUUGGGUUAAUUAUAUACAGCUUUCUGUAAACAUAUCAAAUAGCAUAUAUAUUCUUACAAAGUACAACUUUUUAUAUUUAUUACUACAAAAGUCCUAAUAUUUUAAAUAUACUCCUAUUGUUAAGAUCCAUUAGAAAAAUAUAGCUAACAAUAAAUAAAAUAUUUAAUCCUGAUUAGUGAAUUAGAUAAAUUGGCUUUUUUACUUCUCUUAUAUUAUUUAUGAUGGUAGAAAAGAAGAAAAUAAUCGUCGGAGAUUUUUAGAAGAAUAUUUUUGCAUAAUUUUGAUAGUUCGGACUUUUGGAGAGAGAUAUUUGUGAUGACAACAUUUCAGUUAUAUUUUAUUAAAAAAUAAAUGAUACUCUGACGGUAAUAAUCCAGAUGGACAAAUAUGAAUUUUACUAGACUUUUUCAGAAAUAAAUAUAAAAAAAUUAAAUUUUGUAGGAAUAAAUUUGUUCCUUAUUUUUUUUAGAUUAAUUUCGUGCUAUUUCCCAAA
Molecule: long non-coding RNA, 512 nt
Filed under: Ananas comosus (pineapple)
Lineage: Eukaryota; Viridiplantae; Streptophyta; Magnoliopsida; Poales; Bromeliaceae
Description: long non-coding RNA (ACOM_LNC027406)
Source: RNAcentral